RNAcentral lists this non-coding RNA (111 nucleotides) under Drosophila pseudoobscura. Lineage: Eukaryota; Metazoa; Arthropoda; Insecta; Diptera; Drosophilidae. The record is from miRBase by way of RNAcentral. RNAcentral also lists the same sequence under 1 other name.
CACUGUUUUCCCCUGAUUGACGGUAGUGAAUGGUCAUGUUUCUGUAUUGGUGUAUUCGAUAUCCAAUACAGCCGCAUGAUUAUUCACAACUUUGAUCAGCAUAUUAAAGUG